GACGAACGCUGGCGGCGUGCUUAACACAUGCAAGUCGAACGAGAGGACAAGAGAAGCUUGCUUCUUUUGGAAUCGAGUGGCAAACGGGUGAGUAACACGUAAACAACCUGCCUUCAGGAUGGGGACAACAGACGGAAACGACUGCUAAUACCGAAUACGCUUGGGAGACCGCAUGAUCUACCAAGGAAAGGGUGGCCUCUACCUGUAAGCUAUCGCCUGAAGAGGGGUUUGCGUCUGAUUAGGCAGUUGGUGAGGUAACGGCCCACCAAACCUACGAUCAGUAGCCGGUCUGAGAGGAUGAACGGCCACACUGGAACUGAGACACGGUCCAGACUCCUACGGGAGGCAGCAGUGGGGAAUCUUCCGCAAUGGGCGAAAGCCUGACGGAGCAACGCCGCGUGAGUGAUGACGGCCUCGGUUGUAAGUACUCUGUUGAUCGGGACGGAACGGUACCGGUAAGCGUAAUACCUUAUGAGU
Molecule: ribosomal RNA, 477 nt
Filed under: uncultured bacterium
Lineage: Bacteria
Description: bacterial SSU rRNA
Rfam family: Bacterial small subunit ribosomal RNA
Source: RNAcentral